Peromyscus maniculatus bairdii (prairie deer mouse) is the source of this 1560-nucleotide non-coding RNA. The record is from RefSeq and is a predicted model, not a curated record. NCBI's taxonomy places the organism in Eukaryota, Metazoa, Chordata, Mammalia, Rodentia, Cricetidae.
UCUGAGCUAAACUGUGUUUCCCUCAUUGGCCUUAUCUGAGCCAUCCUUCCCUAAUUCUGGGCUCUAGCAUCAGGGUGGGUUUCCUAAGCCAGCCCCUUUUCCCUGCAUUAUUCACUGCAGAAUAAGAGCCUGUUAACUUGGUUCAUGUGCCAGAGAAUACUCACCCUCUUGACACAUCAAUGAAAAUGAAAACUGGUUCAUUCAAAGGGAGUGUUAUUAAGCUGGAAGCUGAUAUGCCACAGAGUCAGUGUUGUGAAGAAAAUUCAUAUAAUCAGAUGUUUGAGCUCAGGAAGGAGGAACUGGAUUCUCUGAGAAAACCAAAGACAGGGUACCAUGACUGAAUCUUGAUGGCUUUAUAAAAAGAAGAACCAACAACUAGCCACAGAGACACAUGUAUCCCUCGUCUCCUGUCAUAAAUUGUCCUCUGCCAUCUUAGAGUGCUGCUAAUAAGAAGACCACCAUCAACUCGAGUUGCUGCCAACACCAUGAGUCAUUCAUUGUGUCUCCAAACUGUGAUCUUAACAGCCCUCCUCUGGCCUUCUGAAGUUAGCAUACAACGGGCUGAUCACUGGACUUCCUUUGUCCUAGUGCAGAGGCAAUGCUGAGGUAAUAACCACUGUACUGUGAGGACCACAGCAGUCUCACAUACAUCUUUGGGCUUCCAUUCGACUGGCAGACACAUCCAGGUAUCGGCUACUAACUUCAACCUGAGACAUAUGGACUUCCUGAAAGUUGAUAUGGACCAAUCCAGCAAAUAUAAAUGCUGUUUCUCCAGCUGGUCCAUGAACCAGAUGCUUCCAAAUCCCCUCCUUGCUUUUGACUAACAUUCUGGCUUUCUAGGGCCCUGAAAACGACAUUCCAACAUUAACAGGAAGUAAUUACAGAAGCAAAAAUGUCGUCCUUAUUCCUGGAAUGUUAGAUCAAAGAAAAUAUUCUAUCAUAGAGAAUGUGAGAUAAAUAAUAACUGGUCCCUAUUCUCAUUUCCAAGUUCCUUCAGGAUAAGGAACUCUGUCAGCUAUCAAGGGCUUUUGGACCUUCUGUUUCUGCUAAUUACUGCUGGCUCUUAUGUCAUUGAUGCCUUAACUAAAUAAUAAUUCCUGUUUGGAUGCUGCUAAACUGAUGACCCUAGAAUUCCUCAUCUCACUUUCUGAGGUCAUGUUACAGAAUAGGGUAGGGCUAGACCUCCAAUUCUUAUGACAAGGGGGACUAUGAGCAACCCUGGGAAAAAAAAUGAUGUUUUUAUAUAGAUCACUCUGGGCUAAUUAAGGACUCUAUGACCAAAGUAUGAGAAGGCCUCAACAAGCUGAUGCAAAUCAUCAAAGAAAGGUUGGGGACCAUUCAAUUAAUGAUGCAAAGGACUCAAACUUAAUGUGAAAUCCUCAACCAAGGUAAAAAAAAAAAAAAAUGGCCUGUCUGACUCAAGGUAGACAUUUGCAAACUAGGUAUUGACAACCCAUGAUUGGGUGUCCUCCAGUUACUAGGAGAGGAGGGAAUGAAAGAGAAAAAUCAGUAGCCAUCUUGAGAGAUGCUUCCCCCUCUCUUCCUCUGAAGGUAUUUGCU